This 343-nucleotide unclassified non-coding RNA is filed under the name soil metagenome. RNAcentral describes it as "partial contains 5.8S ribosomal RNA, internal transcribed spacer 2, and large subunit ribosomal RNA". The stretch from base 1 to 120 matches the Rfam family "5.8S ribosomal RNA", at positions 35 to 154 of the family's 154-position model. The record is from RNAcentral.
GAUGAAGAACGUAGCGAAAUGCGAUAAGUAAUGUGAAUUGCAGAAUUCAGUGAUUCAUCGAAUCUUUGAACGCACAUUGCGCCCGCCAGCAUUCUGGCGGGCAUGCCUGUUCGAGCGUCAUUUCAACCCUCGAGCCCCCCCGGGGGCCUCGGUGUUGGGGGACGGCACACCAGCCGCCCCCGAAAUGCAGUGGCGACCCCGCCGCAGCCUCCCCUGCGUAGUAGCACACACCUCGCACCGGAGCGCGGAGGCGGUCACGCCGUAAAACGCCCAACUUUCUUAGAGUUGACCUCGGAUCAGGUAGGAAUACCCGCUGAACUUAAGCAUAUCAAUAAGCGGAGGA